GCAGAAACAAAUGACUAGUAUCCACGAGGACACAGGUUCAAGCUCAGUGGGUUAAGGGUCGGGCAUUGCCGUGAUCUGCGGCUCGGAUCCCGCGUUGCUGUGGCUGUGGUGUACGCCAGUGGCUCCAGCUCCAAUUCGACCCCUAGCCUGGGAACCUCCAUAUGCUGCAGGUGCUGCCCUAAAAGACAGAAAAGAAAAGAAAGAAAAGGAAAGAUAAGAAUAAAUAAACGAAUAAAUGAAAAACAUCAAACAAGCAAAAACUCCACUAAAAACAAUAAAAGAAAACCAAGUAGCCACUCUUAACAAAUAACCCAUUAGCAUUGACUUUCCAAUGGAUUUAACCAAGCACUCUUUAAAUAAUACGGUCCUAAGUUUCUUUUAAUUAUUCCUAUUCCCCAAUUGAGCCAUGUUUUGCAUCUUAUUCCGAUUCAGAGACUCCGAGCAGGACUUUAAAUGACAUGUGUGGUGACAGCUUCUGUGGAGCCGAGUGACAGAGGCCAGGGUUCCCUCUUCAAAUCAUGGAACACAUCUGUUUUCUACGAGUUGGUCCCUGGGGGAUAAAUCCCUUCCUGAUAAAAAGGCUUAACUGGGUACUUUUGUCCAGUUGCUAUGGGAGCAUGUUUUCUUGGAAGGAGCCGUGAGUGUUUUGGAGGAAGGAGUAAUUACUUCUUAGGAGGCGUUCCCCUCUUGAAGCCUUUCUGGAAAGGAGCGCCCAGGCUCUGACCGCCUGGGAGCCCGGGGGGAUGUGCCAUCCGGACGGAGGCGGAGAGGAAGACGACGGGACUGGCGUCGCUGCUCCUGAGACUCGAGUUUCGAGAACGGCGCAGAGAACCGUCGAGGAGAGCAACGUGCGUUUCCCCAGCAUCCGCUCUCCUCCCCAGAACAGCGUCGCGGUCUGUCGGAGGCUGGGCGGCCUUCCAAAGCAGCAGAUGCCUGCCCACCGACGACGCCGGAGCACUGAAGUUCACGGCAGAAGGACACUGACCGCAGGGGUGUUUUGAACUAAGCACGCCACUUUCUCCAGCCUCUGGGGCUGAGAGUUUCCUGGCAGGGCCAGCGGCCACCUCUCCUGUAACAGAGGCUGCCAGUGCCCUGCCCUCAUGCCCUCACUCUGCCUGAACAUCCAACAGCUUCCCCUGGCAAGCUCGGGGCCGCCCUGCCCUAGGGCACCCUGGCCACAGCCCUCCUCUCUGGGCUCAUAUCAGGCCACCUCUUCCUAUUGCUAAAUGGUCACUCUGGGAACUCGUUUGAAACUGCGUUUGCUCAGUCUCCUUACCAACCCGGGAGGCCAGCUGGAGGAUCCCCGCUUUCCGGCUGGGGCAGCGGAAAGCUCAAGGAGGUGACUUGGCCAGGGUCACAGGGCCAGGAAACGACAGAUCUGAGGCGUCCACACAGCUCUCGCGGCUGCAGGCUCGGUGCUCCAGCCCUCUGCCCAAGCCCCAGAGGGCACCGGCCCCCAGAACCUCCUCACCGUGCCUACGGUACACAGCAGCCACCGAGUCAGGAGAGGAGCUCUUAUCUGUGUUUGUCCUGCAGAGGAGCUGCCUUAUCCUCGGGCAUUGGCUGUAACAUCGGAGUAGACACAACAGACUUUUAAUAACUCCACGCAACUCUAAACCAGAAGCGUAUUUUUACUCCUGUGAGUCAGCCAUUUAUUUGUCAACCAAGGCCAGGAAAGGAAAGGGCCCAGGGGCCAUUCAUAAACAGACUGCAGCCCCCGGAGACAUCCCGGGGGGAAGCCAAGCUGUCUAGAAAUGCUCUGGUCUAUGAAAACCAUUCCACGGGAACAGACCAGCGCCGGGAGCUGUCUGGGAAACGGCUGGCGGGGGUGGCAGAGGCGGAGGUGUGCGGAGGGGCACUGCAGAAGGCCGGCACACGUGCCACGGGCAGACCCAGCUCCACGUAGGAACCGCAGGGUAGAGCUCCGCCGGGCCUCAGCGUCACGCGCGGUGAAGCAGGCAAGAUGAUGCCAGCCUUUCGGGGAUUCAUGGAGAAUAGAGG
Molecule: long non-coding RNA, 2001 nt
Filed under: Sus scrofa (pig)
Lineage: Eukaryota; Metazoa; Chordata; Mammalia; Artiodactyla; Suidae
Description: lncRNA (ENSSSCG00070007126.1)
Source: RNAcentral